AGGGGACGAACAGUUGGAAACGACUGCUAAUACCGCAUACGAUCUAAUCUCGGCAUCGAGGAUAGAUGAAAGGUGGCCUCUACAUGUAAGCUAUCACUGAAGGAGGGGAUUGCGUCUGAUUAGCUAGUUGGAGGGGUAAUGGCCCACCAAGGCGAUGAUCAGUAGCCGGUCUGAGAGGAUGAACGGCCACAUUGGGACUGAGACACGGCCCAG
This 213-nucleotide ribosomal RNA is filed under the name uncultured bacterium. RNAcentral's name for it is "partial 16S ribosomal RNA". It matches the Rfam family "Bacterial small subunit ribosomal RNA", at positions 137 to 334 of the family's 1533-position model. The record is from RNAcentral.